This 253-nucleotide ribosomal RNA is filed under the name uncultured bacterium. RNAcentral describes it as "partial 16S ribosomal RNA". It matches the Rfam family "Bacterial small subunit ribosomal RNA", at positions 524 to 776 of the family's 1533-position model. The record is from RNAcentral.
UACGUAGGGUGCGAGCGUUGUCCGGAAUUACUGGGCGUAAAGAGCUCGUAGUUGGUUUGUCGCGUUGUUCGUGAAAACCGGGGGCUUAACCCUCGGCGUGCGGGCGAUACGGGCAGACUUGAGUACUGCAGGGGAGACUGGAAUUCCUGGUGUAGCGGUGGAAUGCGCAGAUAUCAGGAGGAACACCGGUGGCGAAGGCGGGUCUCUGGGCAGUAACUGACGCUGAGGAGCGAAAGCGUGGGGAGCGAACAGG